Molecule: non-coding RNA, 51 nt
Filed under: unclassified sequences
Description: DUF3800-VI RNA
Rfam family: DUF3800-VI RNA
About the family: Actinobacteria, Planctomycetes, Proteobacteria, Spirochaetes. Nearby to DUF3800
Source: RNAcentral
UCGCCGGGAGUGCGUCACAGUGCACGGCGGGGCUUCGGCCCCGCCCGGCGU